RNAcentral lists this ribosomal RNA (1239 nucleotides) under Lactiplantibacillus pentosus. RNAcentral describes it as "bacterial SSU rRNA". It matches the Rfam family "Bacterial small subunit ribosomal RNA", at positions 38 to 1239 of the family's 1533-position model. Lineage: Bacteria; Bacillati; Bacillota; Bacilli; Lactobacillales; Lactobacillaceae. The record is from RNAcentral.
UGCGCGUGCCUAUACAUGCAGUCGAACGAACUCUGGUAUUGAUUGGUGCUUGCAUCAUGAUUUACAUUUGAGUGAGUGGCGAACUGGUGAGUAACACGUGGGAAACCUGCCCAGAAGCGGGGGAUAACACCUGGAAACAGAUGCUAAUACCGCAUAACAACUUGGACCGCAUGGUCCGAGUUUGAAAGAUGGCUUCGGCUAUCACUUUUGGAUGGUCCCGCGGCGUAUUAGCUAGAUGGUGGGGUAACGGCUCACCAUGGCAAUGAUACGUAGCCGACCUGAGAGGGUAAUCGGCCACAUUGGGACUGAGACACGGCCCAAACUCCUACGGGAGGCAGCAGUAGGGAAUCUUCCACAAUGGACGAAAGUCUGAUGGAGCAACGCCGCGUGAGUGAAGAAGGGUUUCGGCUCGUAAAACUCUGUUGUUAAAGAAGAACAUAUCUGAGAGUAACUGUUCAGGUAUUGACGGUAUUUAACCAGAAAGCCACGGCUAACUACGUGCCAGCAGCCGCGGUAAUACGUAGGUGGCAAGCGUUGUCCGGAUUUAUUGGGCGUAAAGCGAGCGCAGGCGGUUUUUUAAGUCUGAUGUGAAAGCCUUCGGCUCAACCGAAGAAGUGCAUCGGAAACUGGGAAACUUGAGUGCAGAAGAGGACAGUGGAACUCCAUGUGUAGCGGUGAAAUGCGUAGAUAUAUGGAAGAACACCAGUGGCGAAGGCGGCUGUCUGGUCUGUAACUGACGCUGAGGCUCGAAAGUAUGGGUAGCAAACAGGAUUAGAUACCCUGGUAGUCCAUACCGUAAACGAUGAAUGCUAAGUGUUGGAGGGUUUCCGCCCUUCAGUGCUGCAGCUAACGCAUUAAGCAUUCCGCCUGGGGAGUACGGCCGCAAGGCUGAAACUCAAAGGAAUUGACGGGGGCCCGCACAAGCGGUGGAGCAUGUGGUUUAAUUCGAAGCUACGCGAAGAACCUUACCAGGUCUUGACAUACUAUGCAAAUCUAAGAGAUUAGACGUUCCCUUCGGGGACAUGGAUACAGGUGGUGCAUGGUUGUCGUCAGCUCGUGUCGUGAGAUGUUGGGGUUAAGUCCCGCAACGAGCGCAACCCUUAUUAUCAGUUGCCAGCAUUAAGUUGGGCACUCUGGUGGAGACUGCCGGUGACAACCGGAGGAAGAGGUGGGGGAAGAAAGCCAAAAUAUCAUUGGCCCCUUAUGACCUGGGGUACAACCGGGUUCCAAAGGGAUGGU